UAACAAGUAAAAACAAAACCAUUUCCUUCUCGAACUUAUUUUGAGCUAGAAGAAUUAUGUUCCAUAGCACCCACCCUAUAGUGUUGCAAUACUAAGGGAAUAAAAACUUCUAGAAGCUACAUACCUAUCGCAAAUAAAGAUAGCUAGUUUUCCUACAAAAUUAAUUUUCGUUAAGCAAACUAUUAAAAACACCCACACUAAAUAAUAGUUUUGUAAAAAAAUUUAGGCCAAUCUAAAUUUCUCCACUCACUAUCUCCCUAAUUUCACCUCCAUAGGCUUCAAACCAGCCAUUAAAAAGAAAUACGUUCUAGUAUUACUUAAAAAAUUCUUUACAAAUCAAAGUAUAAAAAAAGUAGGAUAUAUUUCACAAUACUAAAAGAAACACAAAUACUGUAUAAAAUGAUUAUUUUCUCACUAUUUUAACCUAAUAACACUAAAACUUCCUUAAAUAAAAAUUUUACUUAUUAAAUCCUCUCUCAGGAACUCGGCAAACAUGAACUUUGCCUGUUUAAUAAAAACAUGUCUUUUAGAAAAAAAAUUAAAAGUCCAACCUGCCCGGUGAUAGAUUUAACGGCCGCGGUAGCCUGACCGUGCUAAGGUAGCGUAAUCAUUUGCCCUUUAAUUGUGGGCUUGUAUGAAUGGUUAGACAAGAGUUCACCUGUCUCAGAGAAGCAUUUAAAAAUUAACCUUUAGGUGCAGAGGCCUAAAUUCUAGUAAAAGACAAGAAGACCCUAUCGAGCUUUAAUCUACUUUUUUGUAUAUAAAAUAAAAAGAUUUUUAUUGGGGCAAUAUAGGAACAAACAAAGCUUCCUAAAAACCACAAGAAGUACUUUUUUAAAAAGAAACAUUAAAAAUUAUUCUGAAAAUAGCUACCGUAGGGAUAACAGACUAAUCCCCCUUGAGAGUCCACAUUGACAGGGGGGCUUGGCACCUCGAUGUUGGCUUAAGAUAACCAUUAUUUUCUGAAGCAGAACUCUAAUAUGGUAGGUUUGUUCAACCUUUAAUAUCUUA
This 1011-nucleotide ribosomal RNA is filed under the name Phascolosoma esculenta. RNAcentral describes it as "partial 16S ribosomal RNA". The stretch from base 496 to 656 matches the Rfam family "Archaeal large subunit ribosomal RNA", at positions 1883 to 2090 of the family's 2987-position model. The record is from RNAcentral. Lineage: Eukaryota; Metazoa; Annelida; Sipuncula; Phascolosomatiformes; Phascolosomatidae.